AAACUUGGACCAAAAUACCCCUGCGUGGGUAGUUAUCCUAGUUGUAGCUGUAGGGGUAGUUUUAUCUUUCGUCCUGAACUAUAAAUAGGGAUCGGGGGCUGGUUAUUUCAGCACCUCUUUGCUUAGCAACUCGUUAUCUUUUGGCUUAGAGGCAAGUCAUGUGCUUAAAGUGAGAGAAAAGAGGGAGAUUAGAGAGUGAUUACUCUUUUCUCUUAAUUUCUUCAUCUUUUAGUGGGUGGAUGAAGGGAGGAGGCUAGCCCUCUUUUGUAUAGAAGAUGUUCUCGUGAUUUAGCUUUAUUUGUUGUCUCAAAUCGUGCUAAAUCUUUGAUUCCCGAGCGUUUUUCUUUUUCCCUAUUUUCGGAGCUAUUUUUGGAGAAUUUUUGUUCAUCAUGUUUGAGCCCGAAUCUCAUGGUUUUGGUUGAAGAGAAAUGUUGCUAGGAUCUUAGGGAGCAUCUUUCAUAUGAUCCCCCUCCAAAUCCCUCACAAAUCCGGCUUGAAUUUUAAAUUUCUUCCAAAACCGUGUUGAGUUAGGGUUUCGAUUUUCUCCAAAAUCCGUGAUGGAUACUUGAGAUUUUUGAGAUCUUUUUCAUGGAUCUAUUAGCACUUGGAGUUGCGCAUCUAUGGCUCAAGUUUUGUCUCGAUUCAUGGAGUUUUGAGGGAGUAUUUUUAGUUUGAAGUUUGAGUGGUGUUCUUGGAGUUCUUGUUUUCCCUCUGUCUGUUCGUGCGCAGGAACAGGGAAGCGAGGCAGCGAGCGAGCCAGAGCAGCGAGUAGCACGUGCACGCGUGCCAGCAGCGAAGCAGAUCAGAGCAAGGAGGCGGCCCAGCAAGCAGCAAGUGCUGCAGCCCAGGUGCGUGUGCAGCAGGCCAGCAAGCAGCGGUCCACGCAGCAGCAUUUGUGGGCUGGUAGCGCAACAGGCCACCAGGCCGCACGUCCACGGGCCGCACGCAAGGCAACUCUGGUCUAGCAGUUCAGGAUUUGAAGGAUCCCAAAGACCUGAGCUACUUCAGGAGGAAGAAGUCAAGUGAAAGACACUCCAGUCGUGAGUGUACAGGUAUGGACUUGGAGAGGAAGACCGAUCUCGAAGAAUUCGUGAAGGAAGGGUCGCGUUGCUUUGCUCAAGGAUGCCUAUGGUGAAGACUCGGGGAAGACCGGAAAUGAAGCCUUGAAGCCCUAGUUUCUGCUGCGUAUGGGUUUUGUUUGUCGUUAGCCCAAGCGGCCUAUACCUUAUUCAUAUUUCGAGUUGUUUCGGAUGUAUAUAUGAAAUGUUGUACUCUGAUUUUGUUGUAUGGAA
Molecule: long non-coding RNA, 1292 nt
Organism: Setaria italica (foxtail millet)
Lineage: Eukaryota; Viridiplantae; Streptophyta; Magnoliopsida; Poales; Poaceae
Exons: 3
Source: RefSeq, a predicted model, not a curated record